AGUGAACGCUGGCGGUAGGCCUAACACAUGCAAGUCGAACGGCAGCACAGUAAGAGCUUGCUCUUACGGGUGGCGAGUGGCGGACGGGUGAGGAAUACAUCGGAAUCUACUUUUUCGUGGGGGAUAACGUAGGGAAACUUACGCUAAUACCGCAUACGACCUACGGGUGAAAGCAGGGGAUCUUCGGACCUUGCGCGAUUGAAUUAGCCGAUGUCGGAUUAGCUAGUUGGCGGGGUAAAGGCCCACCAAGGCGACGAUCCGUAGCUUGUCUGAGAGGAUGAUCAGCCACACUGGAACUGAGACACGGUCCAGACUCCUACGGGAGGCAGCAGUGGGGAAUAUUGGACAAUGGGCGCAAGCCUGAUCCAGCCAUACCGCGUGGGUGAAGAAGGCCUUCGGGUUGUAAAGCCCUUUUGUUGGGAAAGAAAAGCAGCAGGUUAAUACCCCGCUGUUCUGACGGUACCCAAAGAAUAAGCACCGGCUAACUUCGUG
Molecule: ribosomal RNA, 492 nt
Filed under: uncultured bacterium
Lineage: Bacteria
Description: partial 16S ribosomal RNA
Rfam family: Bacterial small subunit ribosomal RNA
Source: RNAcentral